GCCCGUGUGGUGUAGUGGUUGCAUUCCAUGAGGUGGGAAUUUAUACUUCCUAUCUCAUGGGGCCCAGGUUCGACCCCUGGUGCGGGCA
This 88-nucleotide transfer RNA is filed under the name Podospora anserina S mat+. RNAcentral describes it as "tRNA-Ile (TAT) (tRNA-Ile-TAT-3-1)". Lineage: Eukaryota; Fungi; Ascomycota; Sordariomycetes; Sordariales; Podosporaceae. The record is from RNAcentral.